GUUUGUGGCUUCUUUUUCUAGGACCUAGUAGUGAGAGGGAAGAAGUAGCAACUGGACUGAGUACUGACUGGGGAAAAAGGCUGGAGUACAAGAGCUUUAUUAUCUGUCAGUCACAAUCUCACUUUAGACUCUCGGCUCAAGGAGCCCAGACUCUUUUCUACGUAAGUUGCCAUUUAUUGAAAUUAAUUAUUAUUAUUAUUAUUACUAUUAUUAUUAUUUUAUAUGUCAAAUGUAUGGUUUAGGAAUAAUUCUUCCUUAUAUUGGGAAUCAUUGCAGGGAAUCUGGGGAAAGCUUGUGCCUAUAGUAGUUUUGGGAGCUAUUUCUGAAUUUCUAUCAAAGUUACAUUUUCAAAGACAUUUACAUUUACGUCUUUUUCUUGUUCAGUUUCUCUCCCUCUUUUUCACUCAACUGGUCCUUACAUUCUUGUACAGACAGCAAAAGAAAAGCUGUCUCCUAUCAUUCAGAACAGUGGAUACAACCACUGGAAUUCUAUUUCUUUUUUUUUUUUUAAAGAUUUGUUUGUUUAUUUGAAAGGUAGAGUUACAGAGAGGUAGAGGCAGAGAGAAAGAAAGAGAUCUUCCAUCCUCUGGUUCAUUCCCCAGAUGGCCGCAGCUGCUGGAGCUGAGCCAAUCUGAGGCCAGGAGCUUCUCCGGAUCUCCCACAUGGGUGCAAGGGUCCAAGGACUUGGGCCAUUUUCUACUGCUUUCCCAGGCCAUAUCAGAGAGCUGGAUUGGAAGUAGAGCAGCUGGGACUCAAAUCGGCUCCCACAUGGGAUGCCGGCACUGCAGGAGGUGACUUCACCUGCUAUGCCAUAGCGCUGACCCCUAGAAUUCUAUUUCUUAAAAACAAAGCAAAAAUAACCUUUGUGACUAUCUCAGUCACAGUCUACAUUCACAUUCUUUUAUUCAUGAAUAUGUGUGAUUAUAAAUGUAUGAAUAUAGAGGCCCAUUUUGUGACUGAAGAAAAAAGAAAGCAUUCUCACCAUGUAGAGGUAAAUGAGCAGCAAAUAUAUGAUAAUAUAGCUAGAAAGGAUCAGGAACAUGAGGUUAGAAAAAGUGUGGAGGGUGAGAAUGAUGGGUACAUACAAUCUGACUUGGUGUAAGUAGCAGUAUUAUGUCUAGCCACCUUCAGAUGGGAGAACAUUUUUGUCUAGUGGCUAUAACUUCUAACAAAUACACCUUUGAUACAAUUUGCAAGUAUUUUCUUUUGUUUUAAAUUUUCAGCAUGUGAAAUCAUAAAACGAAAGUUUGUAUUUUUUCAGUUACAGGAAGCUGCUUGCUAUUUCCUAUUACAACCUAGAAAUCAUGAACUUUAGAAGCCUGGACUCAACUCCCAGGAUUCUCCUUCACUUGGGAUCUCUUUGUGUUUUAGUUACCUCGUUAGUUAUUGCUGGAGUGAGAAUGGGUGGCUAUUAAUAUUUACCUUAGAGUAUUUCUAAGAGUAGAGCAACUUAACAACCAAGGCAUAUAGAAAACACUCAAUAAAGACAGAGAGAGGAAAUAUCA
This 1505-nucleotide long non-coding RNA is filed under the name Oryctolagus cuniculus (rabbit). RNAcentral describes it as "lncRNA (ENSOCUG00000032459.1)". The record is from RNAcentral. Lineage: Eukaryota; Metazoa; Chordata; Mammalia; Lagomorpha; Leporidae.